RNAcentral lists this ribosomal RNA (448 nucleotides) under uncultured bacterium. Its description in RNAcentral is "bacterial SSU rRNA". It matches the Rfam family "Bacterial small subunit ribosomal RNA", at positions 28 to 458 of the family's 1533-position model. The record is from RNAcentral.
GAUGAACGCUGGCGGCGUGCCUAACACAUGCAAGUCGAACGAAGCACUUUCUUUUGAUUCUUCGGAUGAAGAAGACUGUGACUGAGUGGCGGACGGGUGAGUAACGCGUGGGCAACCUGCCCUGUACAGGGGGAUAACAGUUAGAAAUGACUGCUAAUACCGCAUAAGCGCACGAGGACGCAUGUUCUUGUGUGAAAAACUCCGGUGGUACAGGAUGGGCCCGCGUCUGAUUAGGUAGUUGGUGGGGCAGCGGCCUACCAAGCCGACGAUCAGUAGCCGACCUGAGAGGGUGACCGGCCACAUUGGGACUGAGACACGGCCCAAACUCCUACGGGAGGCAGCAGUGGGGAAUAUUGCACAAUGGGGGAAACCCUGAUGCAGCGACGCCGCGUGAAGGAAAAAGUAUUUCGGUAUGUAAACUUCUAUCAGCAGGGAAGAAACUGACGGU